RNAcentral lists this ribosomal RNA (426 nucleotides) under uncultured bacterium. RNAcentral describes it as "partial 16S ribosomal RNA". It matches the Rfam family "Bacterial small subunit ribosomal RNA", at positions 354 to 796 of the family's 1533-position model. The record is from RNAcentral.
GUGAGGAAUUUUCCGCAAUGGGCGAAAGCCUGACGGAGCAAUGCCGCGUGAAGGAUGAAGGCCUAUGGGUUGUAAACUUCUUUUCUCAGAAAAGAAUUAUGACGGUAUCUGAGGAAUAAGCAUCGGCUAACUCUGUGCCAGCAGCCGCGGUAAGACAGAGGAUGCAAGCGUUAUCCGGAAUGAUUGGGCGUAAAGCGCCUGUAGGUUGUUUAAAAAGUAUUCUGUCAAAGAUUAGGGCUUAACCCUAGAUAGGCAGAAUAAACUUUUAAGCUAGAGUUUGGUAGAGGCAGAGGGAAUUCCCGGUGGAGCGGUGAAAUGCGUAGAUAUCGGGAGGAACACCAAAGGCGAAGGCACUCUGCUGGGCCAAUACUAACACUGAGAGACGAAAGCGAGGGGAGCAAAUGGGAUUAGAUACCCCGGUAGUCC